Molecule: long non-coding RNA, 712 nt
Organism: Eptesicus fuscus (big brown bat)
Lineage: Eukaryota; Metazoa; Chordata; Mammalia; Chiroptera; Vespertilionidae
Exons: 5
Source: RefSeq, a predicted model, not a curated record
UUCACCUCUCCAAUUAUUUGUGCCCUGAAGAUCCAAAAGUGAAAUUUGACCAUGGGAACAAAAAGGGUAUAGCUGAUGGAAUGGCCUGGAGAAUCAGAAUAUUAUUUCAUCUAGUGAUUGGGAGUCGAAUGAACUACAGGCAUACCUCGGAGUUAUUGCAGGUUCAGUUCCAGACCACCACAAUAAAGAAAUAAAGAGCAGCAUACUACAAACCCUGAAGUUGCCUGAGAGCUCUCCAGUUCCACAAAUCAGAAAGAGUAGAGUCCUGUUCAAGACCAGGCCUGCCAGGCAGGAAGAGGGGGAACAGAGCUGCUCUGGCUGAAGAAUAGCAGCAACUUCUCUUCCCAGCCCUGCCUGUGCAUGGCAGCCACACAUGGCCACUCGGAUGCAUGUGCUAUAUAUAUUUAUUUAUUGGUUGAUUGAUUGCCCGGCUGCAUCUGCUGGAGGAGGUGGAGAGAGGUCACCGUGAUCCCAAGUGUAUCACCAAUAACCAGUAGUGUAUCAGCCAGGCGAGAGCCGUGAACGGAAGAAGGCAGAUCUCCUGGGACGGGGAAGAGCCCUGCACCUCAGUGUUUCCAGCAUUGUGUUCCAGUGAAGCAUGACAUCAUGGAACAUUUGGAACAUUCCCUCCCCCCAAUCAGAACAGGCUGUGCUGAGGGGAUCUAGGAGAAAUGUGUUACUCUCCUUUUGUCAAUUAAAGACUCAUAUGUUU